Meriones unguiculatus (Mongolian gerbil) is the source of this 1201-nucleotide long non-coding RNA. RefSeq lists it as uncharacterized. NCBI's taxonomy places the organism in Eukaryota, Metazoa, Chordata, Mammalia, Rodentia, Muridae. The record is from RefSeq and is a predicted model, not a curated record. The transcript is spliced from 3 exons.
ACCCCUGCCUCUGGACAGGGAGACAUUUUAUAUGGGAACUUUGACAGCAGAGUGAGGAAACUGAGUAACAGAGAUGAGAGUCAGUGGGAAACUUAGCUGUGCUUUGGAUGUGGACAGGUGCAUGUAAUUUUAUAAGUAUUCCAGCCUAAAUACUCCUGUGGGGGCUCUGCUCUUUGUACUCACUGUUUUUCUUCUUCAAAUGUUUUCUUCCUCUAGCAAAUCCCCCAUGGAUUUUGGGAAGAUCAGGGAUGAUGAGCAGGUGUCUGCCUGGUGUGGUGCUGAAGUCAGAUGACAAGUAAACCUUUAUAUCACCUCCCCUUAUCUAGGACAAGCAUGGGGACAGUGUGUUUAUAUGGUGGAUUACGUUGAUGGAUUUUCAUAUGUUAAGCCAGUCCUGUAUCCCUGGGAUGAAGCCUACUUAAUCAUGGUGAAUGAUAUUUUGAAGUGUUCCUGGCUUUUGUUUAUCACACAGAGCGGCCUCAAACUCACUGUCUAUUGAAGAAACAUUUCUACCAAUUGGCUGUCCUAAUUCUCCAAAGGAAAAUACAGGACACAACUCUCCACUGCCAGCAGAUUUGUUUGCAUCUGUAGCUAGAUGAACUCUUCUGGAUAACGGCCAGUUUAUCACAUCCCGAAAGCAACUAUUCUUAAUAGAUAUCUACUGAACAUCCUACCUACCACCAGCAGAACUGCUAAUAACAGGAGUGGCUUCAUGAGACAUUUGUCUACAGAACCAUUACACGUUUUUCUAGCUGUGUGCACUUUUUAUUCAUUGUUCUUUUUAUCCUCUGUAUGGUAAGGGACUACCACCAAACUGUACCAGUAUAGAUUCACAUGCCAAGUCAGUCUCUGUUUAUUCUGUGUCCUAGUUAGCUUUAACUGUCAACUUUGUACAACCUACAUGAGAAGGGAGCUUCCACUGUAGAAUUGCCCAGAUCAGGUAAGCCUUUGGGAAUGUCUGUGGGGGAGUCUACUGAUACAGUCUACUGUGGAAAUCCACUGUGGGCUUCAUCAUUUCCUGGUGCUCUUCAGCUGGAGAAGAACUAGUUAAGCAUGAUGUGUGACUGAGCCACCAAGCAACAUUCCUUCAUGAUUUCUGCUUCAUGUUCUUCCCCCGACUUAUCUCAAUAAUGAACUAUGACCUGGAAAUGUGAGCUAGAUAAAACUUUUCUUUCUGUAAAGUUGCCUUUGGUCAGAAUGC